CGCUUUUGUGCUUACGCGGUUCUGUCAUCUGUGCCUACUGACAGAAGCAAUCAUUCUCUAUUUUUCUUUCUCUACCAUUUUCCUUAGAAAAUUUUCCUAACACCAAUUUUCCCGAGAAAAAUUCAAUGGAAUUAGCAGCUCAGCGACGCCUCAAAGCUAUUCAGGGCCAUUUCCUAUCCUCCAGCACCAACGAUCACUCACCUCUCCAAGCUAACCUCACUGCUUCGCAGUUUUUCAACGGUCAAGGGUACAGCGUAGUUCUUCCAGAGAAAUUGCAAACUGGGAAGUGGAAUGUCUACAGGUCUGUGCGAUCUCCGAUGAAGCUUAUAACCAGGUUCCCCAAUCAUCCUGCAAUUGCGACAUUGCACGAUAACUUUGUGCAUGCUGUUGAAACUUUUCAAGAUUACAAGUACUUGGGCACACGAAUUAGACCGGAUGGAACAGUUGGAGGGUACACAUGGAUGACAUAUGGAGAAGUAGGAACUGCUAGAGAGGCAAUAGGGUCUGGGCUUUAUCAUCAUGGGAUACAAAAUGGAGCUUCCAUUGGAAUCUAUUUUAUAAAUAGACCAGAGUGGCUGAUUGUGGAUCAUGCUUGUGCAGCAUAUUCGUAUAUUUCAGUUCCAUUGUAUGACACUCUUGGUCCUGAUGCAGUUGAGUAUGUUGUGAAUCAUGCUGGUGUGCAGGCAAUCUUUUGUGUCCCAGAGACUUUGAACACUUUGUUGAGCUUCCUAUAUAAGAUGCCAUCUGUGCGACUUAUAGUGGCAGUGGGAGGUGAUGAUGGACACUUACAAGCUCUUCCUUCAAUAUCUGGAGUGAAGCUCAUAUCAUAUCUAAAACUGCUUAGUGAGGGCCACAGCAACCGGCAACCUUUUAUUCCUCCUAAACCAGAGGAUGUUGCAACCAUAUGUUACACCAGUGGUACUACUGGGACACCAAAGGGAGUAGUCCUGACUCAUGGAAACUUGAUUGCAAGUGUUGCUGGUUUAAGUCUCGCAAUCAAAUUCAAUCCCUCAGAUAUUUACAUAUCCUAUCUUCCUUUGGCACAUAUCUAUGAACGAUCAAACCAAAUUAUAUCAGCAUACUAUGGUGUUGCUAUUGGCUUCUAUCAAGGGGACAAUCUGAAAUUGAUGGAUGAUUUGGCUGCUCUAAGGCCAACAAUAUUUUGUAGUGUUCCUCGGUUGUAUUACCGUAUAUAUGAUGGAAUUACAAAUGCUGUGAAGACUUCUGGGGUUUUAAGGGAGAGGCUAUUUAGAGCUGCCUACAACUCAAAGAUGCAUGCCAUAAUGAGUGGUAUGCAUGCCAAUGACUAGACUCUUAGCAUUACAUCAUGAAAAUCUUCUUACUGGGACCUCAUUCAGAAUGCCAGUAGAAUGCAGAAAUGAUAAUAUGUACAUACAAUUUAUUUUUUUAUUGAAGUCUUAUAGUACAUUAUUCCUAAUUAUCUAUUAUAAAAUUUUUGAAAGGAGGUCCUUGCAUCAACUGCUAGGUUUACUCAAAAUAGUUGGUAAGAAUAUGUGAAUGCAUGCUCGUUCCUGUUUAGUGCUUUGUUGUUUAUGUUCAAGUUGACUGUUUCAGGCCGCAAUCCAUCACCAAUGUGGGACAAAUUGGUAUUUAAUAAAAUAAGAGCAAAGUUAGGGGGACGAGUUCGUUUCUUGGUAUCAGGUGCUUCACCUUUAUCACCUGAGAUAGUGGACUUUCUAAGGGUGUGUUUUGGCUGUCCAGUAGUUGAGGGAUAUGGAAUGACUGAGACUUCU
RNAcentral lists this unclassified non-coding RNA (1754 nucleotides) under Hevea brasiliensis (rubber tree). Lineage: Eukaryota; Viridiplantae; Streptophyta; Magnoliopsida; Malpighiales; Euphorbiaceae. The record is from RNAcentral.